This 460-nucleotide ribosomal RNA is filed under the name uncultured bacterium. RNAcentral's name for it is "partial 16S ribosomal RNA". It matches the Rfam family "Bacterial small subunit ribosomal RNA", at positions 338 to 795 of the family's 1533-position model. The record is from RNAcentral.
CCUACGGGCGGCAGCAGUGAGGAAUAUUGGUCAAUGGACGAGAGUCUGAACCAGCCAAGUAGCGUGAAGGAUGACUGCCCUAUGGGUUGUAAACUUCUUUUAUAUGGGAAUAAAAUGUUCCACGUGUGGGAUUUUGUAUGUACCAUAUGAAUAAGGAUCGGCUAACUCCGUGCCAGCAGCCGCGGUAAUACGGAGGAUCCGAGCGUUAUCCGGAUUUAUUGGGUUUAAAGGGAGCGUAGGUGGGUUGUUAAGUCAGUUGUGAAAGUUUGCGGCUCAACCGUAAAAUUGCAGUUGAAACUGGCAGUCUUGAGUACAGUAGAGGUGUGCGGAAUUCGUGGUGUAGCGGUGAAAUGCUUAGAUAUCACGAAGAACUCCGAUUGCGAAGGCAGCUUACUGGACUGGAACUGACACUGAGGCUCGAAAGUGUGGGUAUCAAACAGGAUUAGAUACCCGUGUAGUC